AUUGAACGCUGGCGGCCGGCCUAACACAUGCAAGUCGAACGAGUGGCGGACGGGUGAGUAAUGUCUGGGAAACUGCCUGAUGGAGGGGGAUAAAUACUGGAAACGGUAGCUAAUACCGCAUACCAUCGGAUGUGCCCAGAUGGGAUUAGCUAGUAGGUGGGGUAAAGGCUCACCUAGGCGACAAUCCCUAGCUGUGCUGAGAGGAUGACCAGCCACACUGGAACUGGUACACGGUCCAGACUCCUACGGGAGGCAGCAUUGGUGAUGAUUGCACAAUGGGCGCAAGCCUGAUGCAGCCAUGCCGCGUGUAUGAAGAAGGCCUUCGGGUUGUAAAGUACUUUCAGCGGGGAGGCGUUACCCGCAGAAGAAGCACCGGCUAACUCCGUGCCAGCAGCCGCGGUAAUUC
This 406-nucleotide ribosomal RNA is filed under the name uncultured bacterium. RNAcentral's name for it is "partial 16S ribosomal RNA". It matches the Rfam family "Bacterial small subunit ribosomal RNA", at positions 30 to 526 of the family's 1533-position model. The record is from RNAcentral.